This 378-nucleotide small RNA is filed under the name Pongo abelii (Sumatran orangutan). Its description in RNAcentral is "retained intron". The record is from RNAcentral. Lineage: Eukaryota; Metazoa; Chordata; Mammalia; Primates; Hominidae.
ACCGAUGUGUUCAACUGGAAGGUGCAGGCCGGCUCAGACAAACUGGGCAGCUUCCCAUCCCUGGCUGUGGCCAAGAUCAUCAUCAUUGAAUUCAACCCCAUGUACCCCAAAGACAAUGACAUCGCCCUCAUGAAGCUGCAGUUCCCACUCACUUUCUCAGGCGCAGUCAGGCCCAUCUGUCUGCCCUUCUUUGAUGAGGAGCUCACUCCAGCCACCCCACUCUGGAUCAUUGGAUGGGGCUUUACGAAGCAGAAUGGAGGUAAGUCCUGGGUGAGGACCACAGGGCAGGAGAUGCCCUUGUGUGAGGGAGCAGCUUCCAGAAGUAAUGGGAAGGAGGACCACCCUUCAGAGAAACCCAUCCUGGAGGACCAAGCACCA